This 423-nucleotide ribosomal RNA is filed under the name uncultured bacterium. RNAcentral describes it as "bacterial SSU rRNA". It matches the Rfam family "Bacterial small subunit ribosomal RNA", at positions 207 to 622 of the family's 1533-position model. The record is from RNAcentral.
AAGACCUUGCGCUUUUGGAGCGGCCGAUGCCUGAUUAGCUUGUUGGUAAGGUAAAAGCUUACCAAGGCUUCGAUCAGUAGCUGGUCUGAGAGGACGACCAGCCACACUGGGACUGAGACACGGCCCAGACUCCUACGGGAGGCAGCAGUGGGGAAUUUUGGACAAUGGGGGCAACCCUGAUCCAGCCAUGCCGCGUGAGUGAAGAAGGCCUCCGGGUUGUAAAGCUCUUUCAGCCGGAACGAAACGGUUACGGAUAACACCCGUGACUACUGACGGUACCGGAAGAAGAAGCACCGGCUAACUACGUGCCAGCAGCCGCGGUAAUACGUAGGGUGCGAGCGUUAAUCGGAAUUACUGGGCGUAAAGCGUGCGCAGGUGGUUUUGUAAGUCAGAUGUGAAAGCCCCGGGCUCAACCUGGGAACU